CUGUGGGGGAUAAAGGCUUUGGGAAUGUGGCUCCUCCGGGAGUGUUAUAGCCCAUUGUGUAAUACCCUGUGGUGGACUGAGGUUCGCGCAUCUGCAAGGAUGCUGGCGUAAUGGUCAUCAGCGA
Molecule: ribosomal RNA, 124 nt
Filed under: Ilyonectria sp.
Lineage: Eukaryota; Fungi; Ascomycota; Sordariomycetes; Hypocreales; Nectriaceae
Description: partial large subunit ribosomal RNA
Source: RNAcentral